RNAcentral lists this ribosomal RNA (433 nucleotides) under uncultured bacterium. RNAcentral's name for it is "partial 16S ribosomal RNA". It matches the Rfam family "Bacterial small subunit ribosomal RNA", at positions 29 to 507 of the family's 1533-position model. The record is from RNAcentral.
AACGAACGCUGGCGGCAUGCCUAACACAUGCAAGUCGCACGGGCCCUUCUGUUCUUGUCGCGCACGUGUGCAUCGCGCAUGGAAAUCUGCCCUUGUGUUCGACAUCCCCCCCCGACUGGGGCUCUUAUCCCGUAUAAUCUCUUCGCCCCAACGGUUUAUCGCCUUUGGAUGGGCCCGCGUUGGAUUAGCUAGUUGGUAGGGUAAAAGCCUACCAAGGCGACGAUCCAUAGCUGGUCUGAGAGGAUGACCAGCCACACUGGGACUGAGACACGGCCCAGACUCCUACGGGAGGCAGCAGUGGGGAAUAUUGGACAAUGGGCGAAAGCCUGAUCCAGCAAUGCCGCGUGAGUGAAGAAGGUCUUAGGGUCGUAAAGCCCUUUUGCCGGGGACGAUAAUGACAGUACCGGGAGAAUAAGCCCCGGCUAACUUCGUG